UAAGGAAUAUUGGGCAAUGGACGCAAGUCUGACCCAGCCAUGCCGCGUGAAGGAUGAAGGCCCUAUGGGUUGUAAACUUCUUUUAUACGGGAAAAAACCACCGGUCGUGUAUCGGUGCUGAUGGUACCGUAAGAAUAAGCAUCGGCUAACUCCGUGCCAGCAGCCGCGGUAAUACGGAGGAUGCAAGCGUUAUCCGGAUUCAUUGGGUUUAAAGGGUGCGCAGGCGGAUUAAUAAGUCAGUGGUGAAAUCCUACGGCUCAACUGUAGAACUGCCAUUGAUACUGUUAGUCUUGAGUAUUGUUGAGGUAGGCGGAAUGUGUCAUGUAGCGGUGAAAUGCUUAGAUAUGACACAGAACACCAAUCGCGAAGGCAGCUUACCAAGCAAUAACUGACGCUCAUG
Molecule: ribosomal RNA, 400 nt
Filed under: uncultured bacterium
Lineage: Bacteria
Description: bacterial SSU rRNA
Rfam family: Bacterial small subunit ribosomal RNA
Source: RNAcentral